Molecule: ribosomal RNA, 726 nt
Filed under: uncultured bacterium
Lineage: Bacteria
Description: bacterial SSU rRNA
Rfam family: Bacterial small subunit ribosomal RNA
Source: RNAcentral
GGAGCAUCCAUGAGUAAAGUGGCGUACGGGUGAGUAACACGUGGAUCAUCUACCUUUUAGUGGGGAAUACCUCCGGGAAACUGGAGACAAUACCGCAUAAGCUCGUAAGAGGAAAGCAGCAAUGCGCUGAAAGAGGAGUCCGCGGCUGAUUAGCUAGAUGGUGAGGUAACGGCCCACCAUGGCAAAGAUCGGUAGCCGGCCUGAGAGGGCUCACGGCCACACUGGCACUGAAACACGGGCCAGACUCCUACGGGAGGCAGCAGUGGGGAAUCUUGCACAAUGGAGGAAACUCUGAUGCAGCGACGCCGCGUGAGCGAUGAAGCCCUUCGGGGUGUAAAGCUCUUUCGACAGGAACGAUAAUGACGGUACCUGGAGAAGAAGCUGCGGCUAACUACGUGCCAGCAGCCGCGGUAAUACGUAGGCAGCAAGCGUUGUUCGGAAUUACUGGGCGUAAAGAGUGUGUAGGCGGUGCUCUAAGUCUGUCGUGAAAUCUCCCGGCUCAACUGGGAGGGUGCGGCGGAAACUGGAGUGCUCGAGGAUGGGAGAGGUAAGCGGAAUUCCUGGUGUAGCGGUGAAAUGCGUAGAUAUCAGGAGGAACACCUGUGGUGUAGACAGCUUACUGGACCAUUUCUGACGCUGAGACACGAAAGCGUGGGUAGCAAACAGGAUUAGAUACCCUGGUAGUCCACGCCCUAAACGAUGCAUACUUGGUGUGAGCGAUUCAUU